RNAcentral lists this small RNA (438 nucleotides) under Arabidopsis thaliana (thale cress). RNAcentral describes it as "ATSL097060". Lineage: Eukaryota; Viridiplantae; Streptophyta; Magnoliopsida; Brassicales; Brassicaceae. The record is from RNAcentral.
UUUUUUGUAAAUCUUUUAAAACCCUUUUAAAAUCCCAUGUAAUUCAUUUAAAACCCUUUCAAAAUCCCUUGUAAAUUUUUUAUCGAAUUUUUUUGGCGAAAAAAUUUUGGCGGGAAAUUUAUUUUGGAAUAUUUUAAGCGAAAAAUAUGAAUAUUUUAUUUUGUUAACAUAAAACAAUUUCCAAAUAGGGGUAAAAUGGUCAUUAAAAAUUUAAAGAGGGUAGAAAUGAAAAUGGCUAAAAAAGGGUAGAGUUGAAAAGGGACAUCAUGAAAAGAGCAUUAGAAAGAAUUUUUCUUUAAUAAAUAUCAUGUCAUACUAAAAUUGUAAGAGUAAUAUGUGAUUGUUAUGUAAGUGAAGAUGGUGGUUAUAGAUGGUGUAGAAAAAAAUAUUAUAUUAUAUAAUUUAUAUGAUAUAUUUUUGUUUCUUAAAGUUAGUAAU